UACGGAGGAUCCGAGCGUUAUCCGGAUUUAUUGGGUUUAAAGGGAGCGUAGGCGGGUUGUUAAGUCAGUUGUGAAAGUUUGCGGCUCAACCGUAAAAUUGCAGUUGAUACUGGCAUCCUUGAGUACAGUAGAGGUAGGCGGAAUUCGUGGUGUAGCGGUGAAAUGCUUAGAUAUCACGAAGAGCUCCGAUUGCGAAGGCAGCCUGCUGGACUGUAACUGACGCUGAUGCUCGAAAGUGUGGGUAUCAAACAGG
Molecule: ribosomal RNA, 253 nt
Filed under: uncultured bacterium
Lineage: Bacteria
Description: partial 16S ribosomal RNA
Rfam family: Bacterial small subunit ribosomal RNA
Source: RNAcentral